This 450-nucleotide ribosomal RNA is filed under the name uncultured bacterium. RNAcentral's name for it is "partial 16S ribosomal RNA". It matches the Rfam family "Bacterial small subunit ribosomal RNA", at positions 338 to 795 of the family's 1533-position model. The record is from RNAcentral.
CCUACGGGUGGCUGCAGUAAGGAAUAUUGGUCAAUGGACGCAAGUCUGAACCAGCCAUGCCGCGUGGAGGAUUAAGGCCCUCUGGGUUGUAAACUCCUUUUAUCUGGGAAGAAAUGUACUUUUUCUUGAGUACUUGACGGUCCCAGAGGAAUAAGCACCGGCUAACUCCGUGCCAGCAGCCGCGGUAAUUCGGAGGGUGCAAGCGUUAUCCGGAUUCACUGGGGCGUAGGGGUGCGUGUAUGGGCGGGUUGAAAUCUCCGGGCUUAACCCGGAAACUGCCGUUGAUACUAGUUGUCUUGAAUAUUGUGGAGGUAAGCGGAAUAUGUCAUGUAGCGGUGAAAUGCUUAGAUAUGACAUAGAACACCAAUUGCGAAGGCAGCUUACUACACAAUCAUUGACGCUGAGGCACGAAAGCGUGGGGAUCAAACAGGAUUAGAUACCCUUGUAGUC